UACGUAGGGGGCUAGCGUUGUCCGGAUUUACUGGGCGUAAAGGGUGAGUAGGCGGUUGUAUAUGUCAGAUGUAAAAGGCGUGGGCUUAACCUACGUUAGCAUUUGAAACUGUACAACUUGAGUGCGGGAGAGGUAAGUGGAAUUCCUAGUGUAGCGGUGAAAUGCGUAGAUAUUAGGAGGAACACCAGUGGCGAAGGCGACUUACUGGACCGUAACUGACGCUGAGUCACGAAAGCGUGGGUAGCAAACAGGAUUAGAUACCCUGGUAGUCCACGCUGUAAACGAUGAGUGCUAGGUGUUGGGUAGCGAUACUCAGUGCCGAAGUAAACACAAUAAGCACUCCGCCUGGGGAGUACGGUCGCAAGACUGAA
Molecule: ribosomal RNA, 371 nt
Filed under: uncultured bacterium
Lineage: Bacteria
Description: bacterial SSU rRNA
Rfam family: Bacterial small subunit ribosomal RNA
Source: RNAcentral